GGCCAAGGCCGGAGCUGGCUCCCUCAGCUUGCAGGGAGGGCAGGCCUCGGGACCUGCCGCCCACCAUGCCUGAGCCUCCCCGACGAGCGCUGCCCCCUGCUCCCCGACGCCCAGUCCCAUCGACCACCCAAGGGCUGAGGAGUGAAGGCGCAGGCGCAGGACUGGCAGGCAGCUCCACCUGCGGCCCCAGUGGGGGAUCCACUGGGUGAAGCCAGCUGGGCUCCUGAGUCUGGUGGGGAUUUGGAGAACAUUUAUGUCUAGCUAAGGGAUUGUAAAUACACCAAUUGGCACUCUGUAUCUAGCUCAAAGUUUGUAAACACACCAAUCAGCACCCUGUGUCUAGCUCAGGGUUUGUGAAUGCACCAAUGGACACUCUGUAUCUAGCUAAUCUAGUGGGGGGCCUGGAGAACUUUUGUAUCUAGCUCGGGGAUUGUAAAUGCACCAAUCAGCAGCCUGUCAAAACAGACCAAUCAGCUCUCUGUAAAACAGACCAAUCAGCUCUCUGUAAAAUGGACCAAUCAGCAGGAUGUGGGUGGGGCCAGAUAAGAGAAUAAAAGCAGGCUGCCCAAGCCUGUAGUGGUAACCCACUCGGGUUUGAUUGCCUACUGGGGAAGGUUUGUUUUUUCCUUCUUUGCAAUAAAUGUUGUUGUUGCUCA
Long non-coding RNA from Homo sapiens (human), 656 nucleotides. RefSeq lists it as uncharacterized. NCBI's taxonomy places the organism in Eukaryota, Metazoa, Chordata, Mammalia, Primates, Hominidae. The transcript has 2 exons. The record is from RefSeq and is a predicted model, not a curated record.